CGUACAGGCGGCCAUUCAAGUCGGUUGUGAAAUUUCUAGGCUCAACCUGGAAACUGCGUCCGAUACUGUAUGGCUUGAGAUCAGGAGAGGAGAGUGGAAUAUGUGGUGUAGCGGUGAAGUGCGUAGAUAUCACAUAGAACACCAGUGGCGAAGGCGGCUCUCUGGCCUGAUUCUGACGCUGACGCGCGAAAGCUAGGGUAGCGAACG
Molecule: ribosomal RNA, 207 nt
Filed under: uncultured bacterium
Lineage: Bacteria
Description: partial 16S ribosomal RNA
Rfam family: Bacterial small subunit ribosomal RNA
Source: RNAcentral